CGCGGCCUAUCAGCUUGUUGGUGAGGUAAUGGCUCACCAAGGCGACGACGGGUAGCCGGCCUGAGAGGGCGACCGGCCACACUGGAACUGAGACACGGUCCAGACUCCUACGGGAGGCAGCAGUGGGGAAUAUUGCACAAUGGGCGAAAGCCUGAUGCAGCGACGCCGCGUGGGGGAUGAAGGCCUUCGGGUUGUAAACCCCUUUUAGCAGGGAAGAAGCGAAAGUGACGGUACCUGCAGAAAAAGCGCCGGCUAACUACGUGCCAGCAGCCGCGGUAAUACGUAGGGCGCAAGCGUUGUCCGGAAUUAUUGGGCGUAAAGAGCUCGUAGGCGGUUUGUCGCGUCUGCUGUGAAAAUCCGAGGCUCAACCUCGGACUUGCAGUGGGUACGGGCAGACUAGAGUGUGGUAGGGGAGACUGGAAUUCCUGGUGUAGCGGUGGAAUGCGCAGAUAUCAGGAGGAACACCAAUGGCGAAGGCAGGUCUCUGGGCCACAACUGACGCUGAGGAGCGAAAGCAUGGGGAGCGAACAGGAUUAGAUACCCUGGUAGUCCAUGCCGUAAACGGUGGGCACUAGAUGUGGGGCUCUUUCCAUGAGUUCCGCGUCGCAGCUAACGCAUUAAGUGCCCCGCCUGGGGAGUACGG
RNAcentral lists this ribosomal RNA (643 nucleotides) under uncultured Actinomycetes bacterium. RNAcentral describes it as "bacterial SSU rRNA". It matches the Rfam family "Bacterial small subunit ribosomal RNA", at positions 232 to 885 of the family's 1533-position model. The record is from RNAcentral. Lineage: Bacteria; Bacillati; Actinomycetota; Actinomycetes.